CAGUAGUCACGAGUUUGAUCCUGGCUCAGAUUGAACGCUGGCGGCAGGCCUAACACAUGCAAGUCGAACGAGACCUUCGGGUCUAGUGGCGCACGGGUGCGUAACGCGUGGGAACCUGCCUUUAAGUUCGGAAUAACUCAGAGAAAUUUGAGCUAAUACCGGAUAAUGUCUUCGGACCAAAGAUUUAUCGCCUUUAGAUGGGCCCGCGUUGGAUUAGCUAGUUGGUGGGGUAAAGGCCUACCAAGGCGACGAUCCAUAGCUGGUCUGAGAGGAUGAUCAGCCACACUGGGACUGAGACACGGCCCAGACUCCUACGGGAGGCAGCAGUGGGGAAUAUUGGACAAUGGGCGAAAGCCUGAUCCAGCAAUGCCGCGUGAGUGAUGAAGGCCUUAGGGUUGUAAAGCUCUUUUACCCGAGAUGAUAAUGACAGUAUCGGGAGAAUAAGCUCCGGCUAACUCCGUG
Molecule: ribosomal RNA, 462 nt
Filed under: uncultured bacterium
Lineage: Bacteria
Description: bacterial SSU rRNA
Rfam family: Bacterial small subunit ribosomal RNA
Source: RNAcentral